RNAcentral lists this ribosomal RNA (559 nucleotides) under bacterium RGMB1. RNAcentral describes it as "bacterial SSU rRNA". It matches the Rfam family "Bacterial small subunit ribosomal RNA", at positions 58 to 639 of the family's 1533-position model. The record is from RNAcentral.
AAAGUCGAGCGACAGACGAGGAGCUUGCUCCUCUGACGUUAGCGGCGGACGGGUGAGUAACACGUGGAUAACCUACCUAUAAGACUGGGAUAACUUCGGGAAACCGGAGCUAAUACCGGAUAAUAUAUUGAACCGCAUGGUUCAAUAGUGAAAGACGGUUUUGCUGUCACUUAUAGAUGGAUCCGCGCCGCAUUAGCUAGUUGGUAAGGUAACGGCUUACCAAGGCAACGAUGCGUAGCCGACCUGAGAGGGUGAUCGGCCACACUGGAACUGAGACACGGUCCAGACUCCUACGGGAGGCAGCAGUAGGGAAUCUUCCGCAAUGGGCGAAGCCUGACGGAGCAACGCCGCGUGAGUGAUGAAGGUCUUCGGACGUAAACUCUGUUUUAGGGAAACAAUGUGUAAUAACUAUGCACUCUGACGGUACCUAUCAAAAGCCACGGCUACUACUUGCCACAGCCGCGUAUACGUAGGGGCAGCGUAUCCGGAUUAUGGCGUAAGCCCCGUAGGCGGUUUUAAUCUGAGGAAGCCACGCUCACGUGAAGGUCAUGGAAAUGGA